Unclassified non-coding RNA from Carlito syrichta (Philippine tarsier), 159 nucleotides. NCBI's taxonomy places the organism in Eukaryota, Metazoa, Chordata, Mammalia, Primates, Tarsiidae. The record is from Ensembl.
UAGUGUUCCUCAUGGCGAGCAGAUGGCACCAGGAGAAACGGAGCCCCUGGCCAGUGUGAGUCAUACCAGUGCAGGAGGGGAGUCCCUGGAGAAGCCAGCCCACCUAAACUGAUGCCUGCAGAUUGAAAUUACAGAGGUUUAGGAGAAGGAAGCUCUCCA